GCACAAGCGGUGGAGCAUGUGGUUUAAUUCGACGCAACGCGAAGAACCUUACCUGGAUUUGACAUGCACAGGACGAUCGCAGAGAUGCGGUUUCCCCUGUGGUCUGUGUGCAGGUGGUGCAUGGCUGUCGUCAGCUCGUGUCGUGAGGUGUUGGGUUAAGUCCCGCAACGAGCGCAACCCUUGUCUCAUGUUGCCAGCGCGUGAUGGCGGGGACUCAUAAGAGACUGCCGGGGUCAACUCGGAGGGAGGUGGGGAUGACGUCAAGUCAUCAUGCCCCUUAUGUCCAGGGCUUCACGCAUGCUACAAUGGCCGGUACAAAGGGCUGCGAUAUCGCAAGAUGGAGCGAAUCCCAAAAAGCCGGUCUCAGUUCGGAUUGGGGUCUGCAACUCGACCCCAUGAAGUCGGAGUCGCUAGUAAUCGCAGAUCAGCAACGCUGCGGUGAAUACGUUCCCGGGC
This 456-nucleotide ribosomal RNA is filed under the name uncultured soil bacterium. RNAcentral's name for it is "bacterial SSU rRNA". It matches the Rfam family "Bacterial small subunit ribosomal RNA", at positions 923 to 1379 of the family's 1533-position model. The record is from RNAcentral.